RNAcentral lists this ribosomal RNA (253 nucleotides) under uncultured bacterium. Its description in RNAcentral is "partial 16S ribosomal RNA". It matches the Rfam family "Bacterial small subunit ribosomal RNA", at positions 524 to 776 of the family's 1533-position model. The record is from RNAcentral.
UACGUAGGGCGCAAGCGUUGUCCGGAAUUAUUGGGCGUAAAGAGCUCGUAGGCGGUCUGUUACGUCUGCUGUGAAAACCCGGGGCUUAACCCCGGGCUUGCAGUGGAUACGGGCAGACUAGAGGCAGGUAGGGGAGAAUGGAAUUCCCGGUGUAGCGGUGAAAUGCGCAGAUAUCGGGAGGAACACCAAUAGCGAAGGCAGCUCGCUGGGACGUUACUGACACUGAGGCGCGAAAGCGUGGGGAGCGAACAGG